GAAAAGAGCUAAGCUUCAAAACCCAAAAUCAUGGUCACAGCCACCAAGAAAAGCAAUGUCAUCACUUUUUGUAAGGCUGAGACAAGUCGUCUGUGCUGGAAAAACAACAGCCAGCCUGAGGUAAUGGACUACACACUACCAAUCCUCCUCAUAAUUUGACUAACCGACCUGUUUAAACCGGAUCCCAUCCAGCUCAUUGGCCGUCUACGUGGGCCUAGAACGCCGUCGGUUCGUUUUCCCGACUCGGUUCCAAAACUUGUCAGUUUUCGUUGACAUCCUACGAAAGGAUUCGUAGGAAUUCGGGUUCCCGACAACAUGUGUUGCCAAUUUUCUGAGAAACCUUGAAAUUACUUGAAAGUGAUGAAGAAAAAUUUGGCGUGCUGGGUUUGGGGAAGUUGUUAAAGCUUUUUCCUGAAGUGGGUAUUGAAUCUUUUGACCAUUUUCCUUGUGAAAAUUCUUCUUACCACGACUUCACUCCAUUGCUGCAGAAGAUUAAGGUAGGCUAAGGUAAUUUGAACCUUAAGGGUUUUCGUAUAUGAUAUAGGACUAAUAAUGUUGGUUUAUUUCCUCUUGUAACCAUCCUUGGGACGAGAGAGUAGGAUUAGGUUUCUGGUUACUCAAUGAGAUGUUCGAUUUUUCACUUAUUUUAGGGUUUCUUUUUUGAGUGAUUUUAAUUUAGAUUGUGAUGAUGAAGAUAAUAUUAGGAGAUUAAUGGAAAUUCUGGCUGAGAGUGUUAUGAAAUUUUAAACUCUGAAACAUUUUUAGCGUUCAUUGCUGUAUUAUUUACAUGUUUAGACCUUUUAAUAUUUUUUUUUCUGCCCCUAAUUUAGACGUUCUUUGGUUAUCAAUGUUCAUUGUUCUUCUACUAGUAUUCUAAUCAUUUUUACUGCAUUUCUUUUAAUUCUUCUAAUUUUUAAGGUACAUUGUAGAAGUAUCAGAAAUUGAGGCCUAGAGCUGCCACUGUGAUUAGGGCAAAUGAAGCAUAGUGGAGCAGGAUUCCGCAAGGGGAGCUAAAAUUGGACUCUUAGCAUGGUAAGGACGUUGAACCUCAAGCUUACAAAAAAAGGUUAAGGUCCCCUACAUUGGCCAUGGGUGGGGCCCAAAAGGCUAAUAAAGAGGUCAAGGACAUCGGACCUGGGCUAUAUCACCCAUCCCAGGGACAUAAGUUGGACGAGAUGCAUGAGCAUGAGUAGUCAGGGACUCAUGAACCUCCAUGUCGGACGCAGGAGUUAAAUGGCAUCAUCAGGUAUUAUUCUUAUGACAUCAUGAAAGACAAUGCAAUAGCAAUAGCUAUCAUACUUGUAGUUUAAAUGGACAUGUUAGUGUUUUAUGAAUAAGUAAAAUAUAUACUGUGAUCUUAUUAUUUUGUGUGUGUGUGUUUUAGUGGUUUUUUAGUCACAACUCAUUGCAUUGAAAAAUCAGGGCACACAAAUGGUGCCAAAAAUGAGGAAUGCAAUCAAUCCAACUAUGGAUAGCUGGAGAAGAAGUUGCAUAACUAGCUAGAUUGUGGACCUCUUUAUUCCAUUAUGAGGAAUGAAGCCACACGAACCACAUUCAACAACUUAAACAAGUGCUGCAAUAAUUAAGCAAACUAUAGCACUAAAGGACAAACUCUUACCAGAGCCAAAGCCACUUAGGACCCAAUAACCCCUUCAUUCCAUGUAUUCACCUUUCUUCUCAAAGUGCCAAAUGAGCUUAUCAACCCUAAUGUUUGCACUUAAUGGAAUAGAUGUGAUUAUAUCCCUAUCCACUGGCCAGAAGAUCCUCGAGUUAUUUUUAUUUUGUUAUUUUAUUUUAUUUUUGCAAUUCCAUCCUCUAUUUGGAAGCAUAAUGUUAGCAACCCUCUGAAUCUCAGAAUGUAAGGCUGUGAUUGGUUAAAAGCUCGGUUGUCUAAGUGACUGUGGGUUUCCAAAAAUCUAAUUUUCCCCACAUUCCUACCUACCAUCUGAACCACGAAUUAUGAGUUCCUUUCCCCAAAGGAUGCUCAGCCUUAAACAUGCAUUUGUUGGACAUGCCACUGUUAGGAAGUCAUAUCCCCUAAAGUAUUUGCCCUUCAGGACCAUUGCUGCUAGAGAGGCAUUAGUUGUCGUAGUUCUCCAAACUUGUUUAGCCAACAGGGUUUUAUUAAAAGAAUAAUUCUCCACGUACAUGGGAUUUGUUGACAGGGUCAAUACCGGGGGACAGUUGUCCCCUAUAAUUGGCUUGACCCUGUGAACAAAAUCCUGUACCUGUAGUUUUAUUAUUAUUAAAAUGCCUCACUUCUUGAAAUUCGAGCUCUCCAAGUCCCUUUGGUUUACAUAGUGUAUCCCAUUUCACAUAUGCCAUUUUCCUCCACCCUAAUUCAGAAUCGCACCAUAACCGUUGAAAAAUAACUUAUUGCAAAGAGACUCGGGCAUUUAAAUAUAAACAGCAUAUUCGUUGGGAUGGAUUGCAAAACCGCCUUGACCAAGACCUCUUGAUCCUGUGGAGAAUAAACACUGUUUUAAGCCUUGCACCCUCAUCCGUACUCUUCCUUUCAAUUGCUCAAAGUUACCCUUUUAUUCUUCCCAACGACGAAAUCCAUUCUUAAGCAUCUUUCAUGAGGCCUAGCAUCCCGAAGACAGAGUAUAUUCUGGAUUAAAGCCUUGUGCUCAAGUAUAACAUACGGUCUGAAAGUCAUUGAAAAUUUCUCCAAAUUAACCACUUGACAUGAUGUCCUCUCAUAUAUCAAAAGAUUAUUCGGGGCAGCUUGACAAUCCGAGGUUCUAGCAUGAGAAAGUACAAUGGAGUGAUGCGUGAAAAACAUGUAACUGGCCGCCCUUUAGCACUCUGCUUCCACAAUCUCACCCUCAACCUCUACCUUGUAAAAGAGAGGGACUAUGUACACAGGAUGAAGAGAUAUGGGAAUAAUGGGCAGCGCUUCCGAAGCCCCUGCCGUAUAUGACUCUCUUCUUAGGACCCUCAUUGAAAUUGAACUUAAAUUUGGCCAUUGAGAUCAUGUCAUCACCUAAUUCACCCAGCCACUAGGAAAUUCUAUUUUCUCCAUAACACAGCCUACAAACACACACUUCACUUGGUCAUAAACUUUACUCAUGUCGAGCUUAAGCGGCUUGAAGGCUUACUUCCAUUAUUCUUCUUACUAAUGAAUGUACCAAAUCCUGAGCAACAAUGACGUUGUCUGUAAUACGUCGGCCAGGGACAAAUUUACAUUGUUUUCCAGAUAUAAAGUUGGGUAGAAGUUUCUUAAGCCCGUGUUUAAUUAUUUUUGUGAUAAUUUGUACACCACAUUGCACAAACUAAUGAGCCUGUAGUCGCAGAUAAGUACACAGGAUGCUUUAUUUUGAAAUUAUAAAAAUGGUAGUAUCAUUUGUAUGUCUGGCUGAUUUGCCAUUACGAGAACUUUAAGACAAGCCGAACAAACCAUCAUUCCUACAACAGACCAGUGUUUUGGGAAAAAUAAAACAUGAAGCCUGUCCAUACUUGGUGCUUUAGUUUGGUCCCAUAUGCUUCAAUUCUGCCCGAAGAGAAAGGGACAUCAAUCCAAGCCUUGUACUAUGGAUACAACGUAGCAGAAAUCCCCCUCUGCAGCAUCCAAUUCUUCCACAUUAAGCCCCAUAAUGGAGAGUAGAGAUGUUUAACAGUUUUCAAGAAAUGGGACUACAUGUUUCUCACUCUCAAACCAAACCCCAGCCUCAUUCUGGAUUCUAGAUAAAUCAUUCUUUAUCAUAUCUUAUUACACUAUAUUAAAGUUACAAACUAACUAUUUAACUAAUUUUGAUGCAAUGAAGGUUGACAAUAUUUACUUGUAAUCUUAAAGAAUGACAUCACAUCUUCCCUGUGCAGGCAUGUAAGAAUUUAGUGUUAGGAUCCCACAUUUUGAGCCAUUCAGCCCGUGACAGUUGUCUUCAGUACAUAUCGUCCCGCUUAGGCAAGACAUCAAUGUCAUGUUCCAACCCUUUUAUAGCAGCCAUGGAUUGCCCUUACAGAGGAUAAGCAUAUAGGUCAGCAAGAAGCUAUUUUUCCUCUGCAACUCUCUCACCCGUUUCAAAACUUGAACAUUCUCCAACUGCUCAAGACUGACAUUAAACAAGCUCAUGGGAGAGAUGUAUAGAAGUUUUCAAGGACUGGGACUACACGUUCCUCACCAGGCUCAUAUGGGAUUCUGAACAAGUCAUCCUUUGUCCUCAAAGAUGAGAGACUCAAUAGUAGAAUGAGUCUCUCAUAUAGAAGUUCACCAUUUGCUUUGCAACUAGCUUCACAAGCAGAAGAAGAAUAGGACAAUGAUCAGCUAUUGAGAACUCCAAAUGUGUAAUCAGGGAAUCAAGAUUAUUCCACAUGUAUUAACAGUAUUCCAGCAAUCUUUCAUAUUGAAAGAAAACAUCAAAGUAGGAUUAUUAAUC
RNAcentral lists this long non-coding RNA (4379 nucleotides) under Olea europaea subsp. europaea. Lineage: Eukaryota; Viridiplantae; Streptophyta; Magnoliopsida; Lamiales; Oleaceae. The record is from RNAcentral.